RNAcentral lists this ribosomal RNA (662 nucleotides) under uncultured bacterium. RNAcentral describes it as "bacterial SSU rRNA". It matches the Rfam family "Bacterial small subunit ribosomal RNA", at positions 139 to 788 of the family's 1533-position model. The record is from RNAcentral.
GGGGAUAACACUUGGAAACAGGUGCUAAUACCGUAUAACACUAUUUUCCGCAUGGAAGAAAGUUGAAAGGCGCUUUUGUGUCACUGAUGGAUGGACCCGCGGUGCAUUAGCUAGUUGGUGAGGUAACGGCUCACCAAGGCCACGAUGCAUAGCCGACCUGAGAGGGUGAUCGGCCACACUGGGACUGAGACACGGCCCAGACUCCUACGGGAGGCAGCAGUAGGGAAUCUUCGGCAAUGGACGAAAGUCUGACCGAGCAACGCCGCGUGAGUGAAGAAGGUUUUCGGAUCGUAAAACUCUGUUGUUAGAGAAGAACAAGGAUGAGAGUAGAACGUUCAUCCCUUGACGGUAUCUAACCAGAAAGCCACGGCUAACUACGUGCCAGCAGCCGCGGUAAUACGUAGGUGGCAAGCGUUGUCCGGAUUUAUUGGGCGUAAAGCGAGCGCAGGCGGUUUCUUAAGUCUGAUGUGAAAGCCCCCGGCUCAACCGGGGAGGGUCAUUGGAAACUGGGAGACUUGAGUGCAGAAGAGGAGAGUGGAAUUCCAUGUGUAGCGGUGAAAUGCGUAGAUAUAUGGAGGAACACCAGUGGCGAAGGCGGCUCUCUGGUCUGUAACUGACGCUGAGGCUCGAAAGCGUGGGGAGCGAACAGGAUUAGAUACCCU